Molecule: ribosomal RNA, 491 nt
Filed under: uncultured bacterium
Lineage: Bacteria
Description: partial 16S ribosomal RNA
Rfam family: Bacterial small subunit ribosomal RNA
Source: RNAcentral
AGUGAACGCUGGCGGUAGGCCUAACACAUGCAAGUCGAACGGCAGCACAGUAAGAGCUUGCUCUUACGGGUGGCGAGUGGCGGACGGGUGAGGAAUACAUCGGAAUCUACUUUUUCGUGGGGGAUAACGUAGGGAAACUUACGCUAAUACCGCAUACGACCUACGGGUGAAAGCAGGGGAUCUUCGGACCUUGCGCGAUUGAAUGAGCCGAUGUCGGAUUAGCUAGUUGGCGGGGUAAAGGCCCACCAAGGCGACGAUCCGUAGCUGGUCUGAGAGGAUGAUCGGCCACACUGAAACUGGGACACGGUCCAGACUCCAACGGGAGGAAGAAGGGGGAAUUUUGGGAAAAGGGCGCAAGCCUGAUCCAGCCAUACCGCGUGGGUGAAGAAGGCCUUCGGGUUGUAAAGCCCUUUUGUUGGGAAAGAAAAGCAGCAGGUUAAUACCCCGCUGUUCUGACGGUACCCAAAGAAUAAGCACCGGCUAACUUCGUG